CAAAUUUGAAAUCUGGCCCUUGCAGGGUCCGAGUUGUAAUUUGUAGAGGAUGCUUCGGGUACGGCUCCGGUCUAAGUUCCUUGGAACAGGACGUCACAGAGGGUGAGAAUCCCGUAUGUGACCGGCCGCCACGCCCGUGUGAAGCUCCUUCGACGAGUCGAGUUGUUUGGGAAUGCAGCUCAAAAUGGGUGGUAAAUUUCAUCUAAAGCUAAAUACCGGCCAGAGACCGAUAGCGCACAAGUAGAGUGAUCGAAAGAUGAAAAGCACUUUGGAAAGAGAGUUAAAAAGUACGUGAAAUUGUUGAAAGGGAAGCGCUUGCAAUCAGACUUGCCCGUGGGUGAUCAGCCGGUAUUCUUACCGGUGCACUCGCCCAUGGUCAGGCCAGCAUCGGUUUGGGCGGCUGGACAAAGGCCCCUGGAAUGUAGCUCCUCUCGGGGAGUGUUAUAGCCGGGGGUGCAAUGCAGCCAGCCUGGACCGAGGACCGCGCUUCGGCUAGGAUGCUGGCGUAAUGGUUGUAAGCGACCCGUCUUGAAACACGGACCAAGGAGUCUAACAUCUAUGCGAGUGUUUGGGUGUCAAACCCAUGCGCGUAAUGAAAGUGAACGGAGGUGGGAACCCUUAAGGGUGCACCAUCGACCGAUCCUGAUGUCUUCGGAUGGAUUUGAGUAAGAGCAUAGCUGUUGGGACCCGAAAGAUGGUGAACUAUGCCUGAAUAGGGUGAAGCCAGAGGAAACUCUGGUGGAGGCUCGCAGCGGUUCUGACGUGCAAAUCGAUCGUCAAAUUUGGGUAUAGGGGCGAAAGA
This 802-nucleotide ribosomal RNA is filed under the name unidentified. RNAcentral's name for it is "Sarcogyne californica partial large subunit ribosomal RNA". It matches the Rfam family "Eukaryotic large subunit ribosomal RNA", at positions 110 to 930 of the family's 3401-position model. The record is from RNAcentral.